GCUUGCUUCUUGGGUGACGAGUGGCGGACGGGUGAGUAAUGUCUGGGAAACUGCCCGAUGGAGGGGGAUAACUACUGGAAACGGUAGCUAAUACCGCAUAACGUCUUCGGACCAAAGUGGGGGACCUUCGGGCCUCACGCCAUCGGAUGUGCCCAGAUGGGAUUAGCUAGUAGGUGGGGUAACGGCUCACCUAGGCGACGAUCCCUAGCUGGUCUGAGAGGAUGACCAGCCACACUGGAACUGAGACACGGUCCAGACUCCUACGGGAGGCAGCAGUGGGGAAUAUUGCACAAUGGGCGCAAGCCUGAUGCAGCCAUGCCGCGUGUAUGAAGAAGGCCUUCGGGUUGUAAAGUACUUUCAGCGGGGAGGAAGGCGAUGCGGUUAAUAACCGCGUCGAUUGACGUUACCCGCAGAAGAAGCACCGGCUAACUCCGUGCCAGCAGCCGCGGUAAUACGGAGGGUGCAAGCGUUAAUCGGAAUUACUGGGCGUAAAGCGCACGCAGGCGGUCUGUCAAGUCAGAU
Molecule: ribosomal RNA, 522 nt
Filed under: Erwinia persicina
Lineage: Bacteria; Pseudomonadati; Pseudomonadota; Gammaproteobacteria; Enterobacterales; Erwiniaceae
Description: bacterial SSU rRNA
Rfam family: Bacterial small subunit ribosomal RNA
Source: RNAcentral